RNAcentral lists this transfer RNA (72 nucleotides) under Bos taurus (domestic cattle). It matches the Rfam family "tRNA". From Rfam's summary of the family: Transfer RNA (tRNA) molecules are approximately 80 nucleotides in length. Their secondary structure includes four short double-helical elements and three loops (D, anti-codon, and T loops). Lineage: Eukaryota; Metazoa; Chordata; Mammalia; Artiodactyla; Bovidae. The record is from Rfam by way of RNAcentral. RNAcentral also lists the same sequence under 2 other names.
UCCCUGGUGGUCCAGUGGUUAGGACUCAGGGCUUUCACUGCUGUGGUCCAGGUUCAAUCCUUGGUCAGGAAA